RNAcentral lists this small RNA (29 nucleotides) under Bombyx mori (domestic silkworm). RNAcentral's name for it is "ovarian small RNA-10051". The record is from RNAcentral. Lineage: Eukaryota; Metazoa; Arthropoda; Insecta; Lepidoptera; Bombycidae.
AAAGACAUGAAGAGGAUUGGCGGCCAAAA